This is an RNA transcript of Hemicordylus capensis (graceful crag lizard), 2186 nucleotides long. It is a transcript of the gene named acid phosphatase 1, with no coding region annotated. The record is from RefSeq and is a predicted model, not a curated record. NCBI's taxonomy places the organism in Eukaryota, Metazoa, Chordata, Lepidosauria, Squamata, Cordylidae. The transcript has 7 exons.
CGCCAACCACCGCCCGUUCAAUCGGGCAAUGUCGGGAGAUAGACUUUUCGGGCUUUCUUGGCGCCGUAAAGCGGCAAGGGCAACUUCACGACAGUUUGGGAACGAGCUUCACUUCCUCCACGCUGCUGCUGCUGCUCUUGCUGCAGGUUCCUGAGCGAAGAUGGCGUCUGGGGAGGUUAAGUCCGUUUUGUUCGUGUGCUUAGGGAACAUUUGCCGAUCUCCCAUCGCCGAAGCUAUUUUUAAAAAACUUGUAACAGAUGGAAACGUUCAAAACAAGUGGAUGAUAGACAGCGGUGCUGUUUCUGACUGGAAUGUGGGGCGCUCCCCAGAUGCAAGGGCUUUAAGCUGUCUAAGAAAUCAUGGCAUUGUGACGGCCCAUAAAGCACGGCAGGUUACACAAGAUGAUUUCGUGACAUUUGAUUACAUGCUGUGUAUGGAUGAAAGUAACCUACGGCUUACCAGACGCCUCCGGGAUACCCUUGCCGUUUAUCAGUUGCAGGAGAGAAAAAGCAAUCCUAGAUCUACAAAGGAAAAGCAAGCAAGUUAAGAACUGCACAGCUAAAAUUGAGCUCCUUGGAACUUAUGAUCCACAGAACCAGCGUAUUAUUGAAGAUCCAUACUAUGGGAACGAUGAAGAUUUUGAAACCGUUUAUGAACAGUGCCUUAGAUGCUGUAAAGCAUUUUUGGAGAAACCUCAUUAAUGGGAUAAUAUGCUUCUGAAAGUAAAGAAUAUUUAGUUUUUCUAUAAUAGUAUUAAUCUCAAACUUCACUUGAUUGAUACUGAAUUGUAAUAUUGUGCCUCUAAAAUAGAUCCCAUUUAAAGCUGUGUAUUUUAGUCUUUAACAUUAGUUGCUGUACCAUCCUACUUGAGAAUAUUCGAUUUUUAAAAACAGUCUUGACCUUUAUCAGACCUGUGUAACACAAAAUUUGUCCAAAACAAGCGGAAUAAAUGUGUAAAUAGUAUGUAUAAGAGCUCCUACAUAUGUAUUCUAAAUACGGCACAUAUCUGUCUUCUGUUGCUGCUCUUUGUUAUGGAACCUUUAAUCUUAAAUAUCUUUCUCAAAACUACAUUUACAUGUUUAUACAGUUUCAAAUGUCCCCUGGUUGGUUUGUUUAUGGCUUAUCACAUGACUUAAGCAAUGAAGGGAAUAGUCUUGUCCUUUCAGUGCCAUGAAUGGAGGGAACUAAACUAGAAGAAAUGCUCUCAGUGGGGAAAGUGCUGGGAAAGAAUAACACCUCUCAUCACUUGCUGUGUACCUUCCAGGAUGGUUGCUGAAAUGCAGCAGGGCUUCAUUCCCCUUAAGAGAAGACCCUUGGAACCCUUGGGACUUGGUAUGGGAUUUGGGUCCUAGGCAGAGGUGCACUUUGGGAAUGUGCACCUCCAUGUAGUACCUAUGGGGCAGUGUGGAUAUUUAUUUAUUUAUUUACUCUGGUUAUUUUGAACCAAGUGAUUGCACAGACUUAAUCAUUCAUUUAUGAGAUGGUUAUGAUAUGGAGGCUUGUAGAAUACUUGUGAGCUCAAAGUAUGGCUUUUUGGUGCAGAGCUCAGCAGCAAAGAAUCUUGGUGUGUUUAAAAAAAACAACCAACCACUUCUAACCCUCAUGACAUGGAAAUGAUGUUUGAAAGAAGACAGGCUGUGUCCUGUGAAAUCUCUGAAAUUAGUAGUGUAACUGUAUAUAAUUUCCAGUGAUCAGAAAAUUGAGCUUUAGUGCUUUGAAUCUUGCCCCUGCCUGCUACUAGCGGAAUGAAAUAAAUUAUGUGCUGUUGUUUAUACAAGCUGAAAAGUGUCGCUGCCAUGCCAUAUAAUUUUGCCAUUGUUUUUAGGAAGAGUAUAUACAACUGAUUAUAGUUUGUAGAAUAUGGAAAUAUCUAAUUUCCUAAAGCGGGGGACUUAAAAGCCAGUCAUUGCUUUGGUGGGAGCUGUGAGUACAUCAAUGUGUUCAUAUCCAUUCUUUCUUUUCUUGUAUCUACAAAGAAUAGAAGCUGGAUUUUUCCCAUUCCCCACUUAAACCGUCAUUAUUUUCAUUGUGAUUUUCUGUAGAUAAUACCCCUAUUUUUAACUGCUUCUUUUGGUAUUUGUAUACAUUUAUGCCUGUAUUCUUCUUUGUCAAAUUGCUGAGAUGACCUUCCAGAAUUUUCUCAUGCAGAAACAAUUGUAUGCUUUCAUCAUGCUCUUUUCCCAUCA